Molecule: ribosomal RNA, 325 nt
Filed under: uncultured eukaryote
Lineage: Eukaryota
Description: partial 18S ribosomal RNA
Rfam family: Eukaryotic small subunit ribosomal RNA
Source: RNAcentral
CCCUUAGAUGUUCUGGGCUGCCCGCGCGCUACACUGAAGCGUUCAACGAGUAUUCACCUUGCCCGGGAGGGUUGGGUAAUCUUUUGAAAACGCUUCGUGAUGGGGAUAGAUUAUUGCAAUUAUUAAUCUUCAACGAGGAAUUCCUAGUAAGCGCGAGUCAUCAGCUCGUGCUGAUUACGUCCCUGCCCUUUGUACACACCGCCCGUCGCCCCUACCGAUUGAGUGAUCCGGUGAAUAAUUCGGACUGCAGCACUGCUUGGUCUCCAGGCUUUGCAGCGGAAAGUUUAGUGAACCUUAUCACUUAGAGGAAGGAGAAGUCGUAACA